This 224-nucleotide ribosomal RNA is filed under the name uncultured bacterium. RNAcentral's name for it is "partial 16S ribosomal RNA". It matches the Rfam family "Bacterial small subunit ribosomal RNA", at positions 524 to 742 of the family's 1533-position model. The record is from RNAcentral.
UACGUAGGGGGCAAGCGUUGUCCGGAAUUAUUGGGCGUAAAGCGCGCGCAGGCGGUCAUUUAAGUCUGGUGUUUUAAUCCCCGGGGACUCAACCCCGGUUCGCAUUGGAAACUGGAUGACUUGAGUGUAAGAGAGGAAAGUGGAAUUCCACGUGUAGCGGUGAAAUGCGUAGAGAUGUGGAGGAACACCGGAUGGCGCAAGGCAGCCCCCUGGGAUCGAGAUUG